RNAcentral lists this ribosomal RNA (336 nucleotides) under uncultured bacterium. RNAcentral describes it as "bacterial SSU rRNA". It matches the Rfam family "Bacterial small subunit ribosomal RNA", at positions 183 to 507 of the family's 1533-position model. The record is from RNAcentral.
ACACCGCAUGGUGUAGGGUUGAAAGAUGGUUUCGGCUAUCACUUUAGGAUGGACCCGCGGUGCAUUAGUUAGUUGGUGAGGUAAAGGCUCACCAAGACCGUGAUGCAUAGCCGACCUGAGAGGGUAAUCGGCCACACUGGGACUGAGACACGGCCCAGACUCCUACGGGAGGCAGCGGUAGGGAAUCUUCCACAAUGGACGAAAGUCUGAUGGAGCAACGCCGCGUGAGUGAAGAAGGUUUCGGAUCGUAAACUCUGUUGUUGGAGAAGAAUGUAUCUGAUAGUAACUGAUCAGGUAGUGACGGUAUCCAACCAGAAAGCCACGGCUAACUACGUG